UUAAGCGACUAAGCGUACACGGUGGAUGCCCUGGCAGUCAGAGGCGAUGAAGGACGUGCUAAUCUGCGAUAAGCGUCGGUAAGGUGAUAUGAACCGUUAUAACCGGCGAUUUCCGAAUGGGGAAACCCAGUGUGAUUCGUCACACUAUCAUUAACUGAAUCCAUAGGUUAAUGAGGCGAACCGGGGGAACUGAAACAUCUAAGUACCCCGAGGAAAAGAAAUCAACCGAGAUUCCCCCAGUAGCGGCGAGCGAACGGGGAGCAGCCCAGAGCCUGAAUCAGUGUGUGUUAGUGGAAGCGUCUGGAAAGGCGCGCGAUACAGGGUGACAGCCCGUACACAAAACACAUGCUGUGAGCUCGAUGAGUAGGGCGGGACACGUGGUAUCCUGUCUGAAUAUGGGGACCAUCCUCCAAGGCUAAAUACUCCUGACUGACCGAUAGUGAACCAGUACCGUGAGGGAAAGGCGAAAAGAACCCCGGCGAGGGGAGUGAAAAAGAACCUGAAACCGUGUACGUACAAGCAGUGGGAGCACGCUUCGGCGUGUGACUGCGUACCUUUUGUAUAAUGGGUCAGCGACUUAUAUUCUGUAGCAAGGUUAACCGAAUAGGGGAGCCGAAGGGAAACCGAGUCUUAACUGGGCGUUAAGUUGCAGGGUAUAGACCCGAAACCCGGUGAUUCAGCCAUGGGCAGGUUGAAGGUUGGGUAACACUAACUGGAGGACCGAACCGACUAAUGUUGAAAAAUUAGCGGAUGACUUGUGGCUGGGGGUGAAAGGCCAAUCAAACCGGGAGAUAGCUGGUUCUCCCCGAAAGCUAUUUAGGUAGCGCCUCGUGAAUUCAUCUCCGGGGGUAGAGCACUGUUUCGGCAAGGGGGUCAUCCCGACUUACCAACCCGAUGCAAACUGCGAAUACCGGAGAAUGUUAUCACGGGAGACACACGGCGGGUGCUAACGUCCGUCGUGAAGAGGGAAACAACCCAGACCGCCAGCUAAGGUCCCAAAGUCAUGGUUAAGUGGGAAACGAUGUGGGAAGGCCCAGACAGCCGAUGUUGGCUUAGAAGCAGCCAUCAUUUAAAGAAAGCGUAAUAGCUCACUGGUCGAGUCGGCCUGCGCGGAAGAUGUAACGGGGCUAAACCAUGCACCGAAGCUGCGGCAGCGACACUAUGUGUUGUUGGGUAGGGGAGCGUUCUGUAAGCCUGUGAAGGUGUACUGUGAGGUAUGCUGGAGGUAUCAGAAGUGCGAAUGCUGACAUAAGUAACGAUAAAGCGGGUGAAAAGCCCGCUCGCCGGAAGACCAAGGGUUCCUGUCCAACGUUAAUCGGGGCAGGGUGAGUCGACCCCUAAGGCGAGGCCGAAAGGCGUAGUCGAUGGGAAACAGGUUAAUAUUCCUGUACUUGGUGUUACUGCGAAGGGGGGACGGAGAAGGCUAUGUUGGCCGGGCGACGGUUGUCCCGGUUUAAGCGUGUAGGCUGGUUUUCCAGGCAAAUCCGGAAAAUCAAGGCUGAGGCGUGAUGACGAGGCACUACGGUGCUGAAGCAACAAAUGCCCUGCUUCCAGGAAAAGCCUCUAAGCAUCAGGUAACAUCAAAUCGUACCCCAAACCGACACAGGUGGUCAGGUAGAGAAUACCAAGGCGCUUGAGAGAACUCGGGUGAAGGAACUAGGCAAAAUGGUGCCGUAACUUCGGGAGAAGGCACGCUGAUAUGUAGGUGAAGCGACUUGCUCGUGGAGCUGAAAUCAGUCGAAGAUACCAGCUGGCUGCAACUGUUUAUUAAAAACACAGCACUGUGCAAACACGAAAGUGGACGUAUACGGUGUGACGCCUGCCCGGUGCCGGAAGGUUAAUUGAUGGGGUUAGCGGUAACGCGAAGCUCUUGAUCGAAGCCCCGGUAAACGGCGGCCGUAACUAUAACGGUCCUAAGGUAGCGAAAUUCCUUGUCGGGUAAGUUCCGACCUGCACGAAUGGCGUAAUGAUGGCCAGGCUGUCUCCACCCGAGACUCAGUGAAAUUGAACUCGCUGUGAAGAUGCAGUGUACCCGCGGCAAGACGGAAAGACCCCGUGAACCUUUACUAUAGCUUGACACUGAACAUUGAGCCUUGAUGUGUAGGAUAGGUGGGAGGCUUUGAAGUGUGGACGCCAGUCUGCAUGGAGCCGACCUUGAAAUACCACCCUUUAAUGUUUGAUGUUCUAACGUUGACCCGUGAUCCGGGUUGCGGACAGUGUCUGGUGGGUAGUUUGACUGGGGCGGUCUCCUCCUAAAGAGUAACGGAGGAGCACGAAGGUUGGCUAAUCCUGGUCGGACAUCAGGAGGUUAGUGCAAUGGCAUAAGCCAGCUUGACUGCGAGCGUGACGGCGCGAGCAGGUGCGAAAGCAGGUCAUAGUGAUCCGGUGGUUCUGAAUGGAAGGGCCAUCGCUCAACGGAUAAAAGGUACUCCGGGGAUAACAGGCUGAUACCGCCCAAGAGUUCAUAUCGACGGCGGUGUUUGGCACCUCGAUGUCGGCUCAUCACAUCCUGGGGCUGAAGUAGGUCCCAAGGGUAUGGCUGUUCGCCAUUUAAAGUGGUACGCGAGCUGGGUUUAGAACGUCGUGAGACAGUUCGGUCCCUAUCUGCCGUGGGCGCUGGAGAACUGAGGGGGGCUGCUCCUAGUACGAGAGGACCGGAGUGGACGCAUCACUGGUGUUCGGGUUGUCAUGCCAAUGGCACUGCCCGGUAGCUAAAUGCGGAAGAGAUAAGUGCUGAAAGCAUCUAAGCACGAAACUUGCCCCGAGAUGAGUUCUCCCUGACUCCUUGAGAGUCCUGAAGGAACGUUGAAGACGACGACGUUGAUAGGCCGGGUGUGUAAGCGCAGCGAUGCGUUGAGCUAACCGGUACUAAUGAACCGUGAGGCUUAACCU
Molecule: ribosomal RNA, 2892 nt
Filed under: Escherichia coli
Lineage: Bacteria; Pseudomonadati; Pseudomonadota; Gammaproteobacteria; Enterobacterales; Enterobacteriaceae
Description: bacterial LSU rRNA
Rfam family: Bacterial large subunit ribosomal RNA
Source: RNAcentral